AUAAUUGGAGUAGCUAAGUCUUCAAAAAAGAAUAAAUAGACGUUACUGUAGUAAAGGAUGCUAUCAUACCAGCACUAAUGCGCCGGAUCCAAUCAGAAUUUCGUAGUUAAGAGUGCUUGGGCAAGAGUAGUAAUAGUAUGUGUGACCUCCCGGAAAGUCCUCGUGUUGCAUCCCUCC
Molecule: ribosomal RNA, 177 nt
Filed under: Arabidopsis thaliana (thale cress)
Lineage: Eukaryota; Viridiplantae; Streptophyta; Magnoliopsida; Brassicales; Brassicaceae
Source: RNAcentral